This 532-nucleotide ribosomal RNA is filed under the name uncultured bacterium. Its description in RNAcentral is "bacterial SSU rRNA". It matches the Rfam family "Bacterial small subunit ribosomal RNA", at positions 777 to 1310 of the family's 1533-position model. The record is from RNAcentral.
AAUAGAUACCCCGGUAGUCCACGCCCUAAACGAUGUCAACUGGUUGUUGGGAAUUUACUUUCUCAGUAACGAAGCUAACGCGUGAAGUUGACCGCCUGGGGAGUACGGCCGCAAGGUUAAAACUCAAAGGAAUUGACGGGGACCCGCACAAGCGGUGGAUGAUGUGGUUUAAUUCGAUGCAACGCGAAAAACCUUACCCACCUUUGGCAUGUAUGGAAGAUCGCAGAGACGCGAUUGUGCUCGAAAGAGAGCCAUAACACAGGUGCUGCAUGGCUGUCGUCAGCUCGUGUCGUGAGAUGUUGGGUUAAGUCCCGCAACGAGCGCAACCCUUGUCAUUAGUUGCUACAUUUAGUUGGGCACUCUAAUGAGACUGCCGGUGACAAACCGGAGGAAGGUGGGGAUGACGUCAAGUCCUCAUGGCCCUUAUAGGUGGGGCUACACACGUCAUACAAUGGCUGGUACGAAGGGUUACCAACCCGCGAGGGGGAGCCAAUCCCAUAAAGCCAGUCGUAGUCCGGAUCGCAGUCUGCAA